RNAcentral lists this ribosomal RNA (242 nucleotides) under uncultured Bacteroidota bacterium. Its description in RNAcentral is "uncultured Bacteroidetes bacterium partial 16S ribosomal RNA". It matches the Rfam family "Bacterial small subunit ribosomal RNA", at positions 796 to 1041 of the family's 1533-position model. Lineage: Bacteria; Pseudomonadati; Bacteroidota. The record is from RNAcentral.
CACGCCGUAAACGAUGAUCACUCGCUGUUUGCGAUAUACAGUAAGCGGCUAAGCGAAAGCGUUAAGUGAUCCACCUGGGGAGUACGAUCGCAAGGUUGAAACUCAAAGGAAUUGACGGGGGCCCGCACAAGCGGAGGAACAUGUGGUUUAAUUCGAUGAUACGCGAGGAACCUUACCCGGGCUCGAACGGUGCAUGAAUAAGCAAGAGAUUGUUUAGUCCUUCGGGACAUGUAUCGAGGUGC